Molecule: transfer RNA, 61 nt
Filed under: Neotoma lepida (desert woodrat)
Lineage: Eukaryota; Metazoa; Chordata; Mammalia; Rodentia; Cricetidae
Rfam family: tRNA
About the family: Transfer RNA (tRNA) molecules are approximately 80 nucleotides in length. Their secondary structure includes four short double-helical elements and three loops (D, anti-codon, and T loops). Further hydrogen bonds mediate the characteristic L-shaped molecular structure. tRNAs have two regions of fundamental functional importance: the anti-codon, which is responsible for specific mRNA codon recognition, and the 3' end, to which the tRNAs corresponding amino acid is attached (by aminoacyl-tRNA synthetases). tRNAs cope with the degeneracy of the genetic code in two manners: having more than one tRNA (with a specific anti-codon) for a particular amino acid; and 'wobble' base-pairing, i.e. permitting non-standard base-pairing at the 3rd anti-codon position.
Source: Rfam by way of RNAcentral
UGUAGCUUAGUGGUAGAGCAUGUGCCUCUCCUACACAAGGCCUAAGGUUCAAUUCCUUCCA